Molecule: ribosomal RNA, 611 nt
Filed under: uncultured bacterium
Lineage: Bacteria
Description: bacterial SSU rRNA
Rfam family: Bacterial small subunit ribosomal RNA (bases 1-521)
Source: RNAcentral
CCUACGGGAGGCAGCAGUGGGGAAUUUUCCGCAAUGGGCGAAAGCCUGACGGAGCAAUACCGCGUGAGGGAGGAAGGCUCUUGGGUUGUAAACCUCUUUUCUCAGGGAAGAAGUUCUGACGGUACCUGAGGAAUAAGCAUCGGCUAACUCUGUGCCAGCAGCCGCGGUAAUACAGAGGAUGCAAGCGUUAUCCGGAAUGAUUGGGCGUAAAGCGUCCGCAGGUGGUUUUAUAUGUCUGCUGUUAAAUAGUUAGGCUUAACCUAAUAAAGGCGGUGGAAACUAUAAGACUAGAGUACGUUCGGGGUAGAGGGAAUUCCCAGUGUAGCGGUGAAAUGCGUAGAGAUUGGGAAGAACACCAGUGGCGAAGGCGCUCUGCUAGGACUGUACUGACACUGAGGGACGAAAGCUAGGGGAGCGAAUGGGAUUAGAUACCCCAGUAGUCCUAGCCGUAAACGAUGGAUACUAGGCGUUGUCUGUAUCGACCCGGACAGUGCCGUAGCUAACGCGUUAAGUAUCCCGCCUGGGGUAGGUACGCGAGCGACGNGUGAACGUAAAGUAGUAGUUAGACGGCGUGUAGACGUUGCCGACGGACGACGACGAGGGAGGUUAGG